This 248-nucleotide ribosomal RNA is filed under the name uncultured Lachnospiraceae bacterium. Its description in RNAcentral is "partial 16S ribosomal RNA". It matches the Rfam family "Bacterial small subunit ribosomal RNA", at positions 524 to 773 of the family's 1533-position model. Lineage: Bacteria; Bacillati; Bacillota; Clostridia; Lachnospirales; Lachnospiraceae. The record is from RNAcentral.
UACGUAGGGGGCAAGCGUUAUCCGGAUUUACUGGGUGUAAAGGGAGCGUAGACGGCAGCGCAAGUCUGGAGUGAAAUGCCGGCCCAACCCCGGAACUGCUUUGGAAACUGUGCGGCUCGAGUGCGGGAGAGGUAGGCGGAAUUCCUAGUGUAGCGGUGAAAUGCGUAGAUAUUAGGAGGAACACCAGUGGCGAAGGCGGCUUUCUGGACUGUAACUGACGUUGAGGCGCGAAAGCGUGGGGAGCAAAC